AUUGAACGCUGGCGGCAUGCUUUACACAUGCAAGUCGGACGGCAGCACAGAGAAGCUUGCUUCUUGGGUGGCGAGUGGCGAACGGGUGAGUAACAUAUCGGAACGUACCGAGCAGUGGGGGAUAACUAAUCGAAAGAUUAGCUAAUACCGCAUAUCUUCUGAGGAAGAAAGCAGGGGACCAUUUGGCCUUGCGCUGUUUGAGCGGCCGAUAUCUGAUUAGCUAGUUGGUGGGGUAAAGGCCUACCAAGGCGACGAUCAGUAGCGGGUCUGAGAGGAUGAUCCGCCACACUGGGACUGAGACACGGCCCAGACUCCUACGGGAGGCAGCAGUGGGGAAUUUUGGACAAUGGGCGCAAGCCUGAUCCAGCCAUGCCGCGUGUCUGAAGGAGGCCUUCGGGUUGUAAAGGACUUUUGUCAGGGAAGAAAAGGGCGGGGUUAAUACCCCUGUCUGAUGACGGUACCUGAAGAAUAAGCACCGGCUAACUACGUG
Molecule: ribosomal RNA, 490 nt
Filed under: uncultured bacterium
Lineage: Bacteria
Description: partial 16S ribosomal RNA
Rfam family: Bacterial small subunit ribosomal RNA
Source: RNAcentral